CCUGUUGGUGAAGUAAAGCAAUUUUAUCGGUUGAGUGGUCUACUGAUAGGGUAACCUUGAAGCAUCUUUUGCUGGUGAUGUGAUAACUUUGUUGGUAGUGAGAUGACUUAAAACAAUUUUGUUGGGAAGCAUCUGGCUAGUCUUCUUUUUGAUGGUUUGAUGGUUUGUCAUCUUGUCGGUAGAAUACUUUGUUGGUGGAGCAUUUGGUUGGUGAAGCACUCUGUUGGUGGAGCUCAUCUGUUAGUGAAGAAAUAAGCUUUUGCUGAAGAAGCACCUUUUGCUGG
This 284-nucleotide long non-coding RNA is filed under the name Elaeis guineensis (African oil palm). RNAcentral describes it as "long non-coding RNA (EGUI_LNC074958)". The record is from RNAcentral. Lineage: Eukaryota; Viridiplantae; Streptophyta; Magnoliopsida; Arecales; Arecaceae.